CCUACGGGAGGCUGCAGUGGGGAAUAUUGGACAAUGGGGGCAACCCUGAUCCAGCCAUGCCGCGUGUGUGAAGAAGGCCCUCGGGUUGUAAAGCACUUUCAGUGAGGAAGAACGCCUGGUGGUUAAUACCCAUCAGGAAAGACAUCACUCACAGAAGAAGCACCGGUUAACUCCGUGCCAGCAGCCGCGGUAAUACGGAGGGUGCGAGCGUUAAUCGGAAUUACUGGGCGUAAAGCGCGCGUAGGUGGCUUGAUAAGCCGGUUGUGAAAGCCCCGGGCUCAACCUGGGAACGGCAUCCGGAACUGUCAAGCUAGAGUGCAGGAGAGGAAGGUAGAAUUCCCGGUGUAGCGGUGAAAUGCGUAGAGAUCGGGAGGAAUACCAGUGGCGAAGGCGGCCUUCUGGACUGACACUGACACUGAGGUGCGAAAGCGUGGGUAGCAAACAGGAUUAGAUACCCUUGUAGUC
This 465-nucleotide ribosomal RNA is filed under the name Vreelandella stevensii. RNAcentral's name for it is "partial 16S ribosomal RNA". It matches the Rfam family "Bacterial small subunit ribosomal RNA", at positions 338 to 795 of the family's 1533-position model. Lineage: Bacteria; Pseudomonadati; Pseudomonadota; Gammaproteobacteria; Oceanospirillales; Halomonadaceae. The record is from RNAcentral.